UUCGAAUAACCAAGAACUGAGAAAAUUCUGGAAACUUCCCUCUUUUCCCCAUUUCGGUCGGAACUCGGAACUUAGCAACGUUGUUGGCAUGUUUCAGUCUUCCGAUUCAAACACUUUUUCAGGAACGUGUUGUUGAUCAAAUUCUUUUUUACAGAUUACUGUAACUAUUUGUUUUCCUUAAAUUCUUGACUACUUUAUCAUAUUGAAGAUGUUUGAUUUUUUUUUUUUGGUGUAAAACAGAGUUCACGUUGAGCUUUUGCAGUCUGAUAUUAAGAUUUUGGUGUUUUGGGUGUCAGCAGUUCGUUUUCUCUUUUCAUGUUUUGUUUUGGAAUUGGAUAAAUGGAAAUUAAUUUCGCCAAGUAGGACAAGCAUGAACCUUUGUGAUUGGUUUCUAGAGAUAAUAGUAUUGGUUUUUGACAUUGUUGCUACUAAACUCUGUCUUUUCAUUGUUUGAUUUUUCUUUUUAUAGUUAUAAAUUGGAAUUGAAUUGCAACUUUUUUUUUUAAACAUUCCAAGUGCACUUUAAGCUCGUCAAGUUUAAAAAGUUGAAGAAUUCUUUUUUUUUUUUUAUAAGUUUCAAAUCAACCCUUAAACCCUUCUACCCUACUGCUCACCUGGCUGAUUUUCCUUAAUGCUUUUUUGCUAUGUUUUCUGAUUUUCAGCGAGGGCUGCUAGUUUCUUAAUAUUUAGCUGUUGCUUUACCCCCAGAAGAGCUCAAGAAUAUAAAUUCUACAUGCGUGGAACUACUGCAUUGUUGCCUUCAAAAUACAAAUUUAAAUAAAUCUCUCCUACGGAACUGUGGCUACUUCAACACCAAGGAAAUCGGAGAACAAUGAUCCUAAGGGAGGAGGGCCUUUCAGUAACGACCAGACUGAG
This is a non-coding RNA of Durio zibethinus, 876 nucleotides long. The record is from RefSeq and is a predicted model, not a curated record. Lineage: Eukaryota; Viridiplantae; Streptophyta; Magnoliopsida; Malvales; Malvaceae.